CCUACGGGAGGCAGCAGUGGGGGAUAUUGCACAAUGGGGGGAACCCUGAUGCAGCGACGCCGCGUGGGUGAAGGAGCGUUUCGGCGCGUAAAGCUCUAUCGGCAGGGAAGAAGAAGACGGUACUUGACCAAGAAGCCGCGGCUAACUACGUGCCAGCAGCCGCGGUAAUACGUAGGGGACAAGCGUUAUCCGGAUUUACUGGGUGUAAAGGGGGCGCAGACGGCAAUGCAAGCCAGGAGUGAAAGCCCGGGGCUCAACCCCGGGACUGCUCUUGAAACUGCAUGGCUGGAGUGCAGGAGGGGCAGGCGGAAUUCCUAGUGUAGCGGUGAAAUGCGUAGAUAUUAGGAGGAACACCGGUGGCGAAGGCGGCCUGCUGGACUGUGACUGACGUUGAGGCCCGAAGGCGUGGGGAGCAAACAGGAUUAGAUACCCUUGUAGUC
Molecule: ribosomal RNA, 440 nt
Filed under: uncultured bacterium
Lineage: Bacteria
Description: partial 16S ribosomal RNA
Rfam family: Bacterial small subunit ribosomal RNA
Source: RNAcentral